GACGAACGCUGGCGGCGUGCUUAACACAUGCAAGUCGAACGGAAAGGCCCUGCCUUUGUGGGGUGCUCGAGUGGCGAACGGGUGAGUAACACGUGAGUGACCUGCCCUUGACUUUGGGAUAACUUCAGGAAACUGGGGCUAAUACCGGAUAGGAGCUCCUGCUGCAUGGUGGGGGUUGGAAAGUUUCGGCGGUUGGGGAUGGACUCGCGGCUUAUCAGCUUGUUGGUGGGGUAGUGGCUUACCAAGGCUUUGACGGGUAGCCGGCCUGAGAGGGUGACCGGCCACAUUGGGCCUGAGAUACGGCCCAGACUCGUACGGGAGGCAGCAGUGGGGAAUAUUGCACAAUGGGCGGAAGCCUGUUGCAGCAACGCCGCGUGCGGGAUGACGGCCUUCGGGUUGUAAACCGCUUUCGCCUGUGCCGAAGCGUGAGUGACGGUAAUUGGUAAAGAAGCACCGGCUAACUACGUG
This 468-nucleotide ribosomal RNA is filed under the name uncultured bacterium. RNAcentral describes it as "partial 16S ribosomal RNA". It matches the Rfam family "Bacterial small subunit ribosomal RNA", at positions 28 to 507 of the family's 1533-position model. The record is from RNAcentral.